This 485-nucleotide ribosomal RNA is filed under the name uncultured bacterium. Its description in RNAcentral is "partial 16S ribosomal RNA". It matches the Rfam family "Bacterial small subunit ribosomal RNA", at positions 28 to 523 of the family's 1533-position model. The record is from RNAcentral.
GACGAACGCUGGCGGCGUGCUUAACACAUGCAAGUCGAACGGUGAAAGCGGAGCUUGCUCCGCUGGAUCAGUGGCGAACGGGUGAGUAACACGCGGGCAACCUGCCCCUCACUUCGGGAUAACUCCGGGAAACAGGGGCUAAUACCGGAUAUGACCUCCUUGCGCAUCCUUGGAGGUGGAAAGUUUUUCGGUGAGGGAGGGGCCCGCGGCCUAGCAGCUUGUUGGUGAGGUGGUGGGACAGCAAGGGGACGACGGGUAGCCGGCGUGAGAUGGCGACCGGACACACUGGGACUGAGACACGGCCCAGACUCCUACGGGAGGCAGCAGUGGGGAAUAUUGCGCAAUGAGCGAAAGCCUGACGCAGCAACGCCGCGUGCGGGAUGACGGCCUUCGGGUUGUAAACAGCUUUCAGCAGGGAAGAAGCCGCAAGGUGACGGUACCUGCAGAAGAAGCACCGGCUAACUACGUGCCAGCCGCCGCCGUAA